UUAUAAGAGACAGCAGUAGCCGCGGUAAUACAGAGGGUGCGAGCGUUAAUCGGAUUUACUGGGCGUAAAGCGUGCGUAGGCGGCUUUUUAAGUCGGAUGUGAAAUCCCUGAGCUUAACUUAGGAAUUGCAUUCGAUACUGGGAAGCUAGAGUAUGGGAGAGGAUGGUAGAAUUCCAGGUGUAGCGGUGAAAUGCGUAGAGAUCUGGAGGAAUACCGAUGGCGAAGGCAGCCAUCUGGCCUAAUACUGACGCUGAGGUACGAAAGCAUGGGGAGCAAACAGGAUUAGAUACCCCUGUAGUCCCUGUCUCUUAUAC
This 314-nucleotide ribosomal RNA is filed under the name uncultured bacterium. RNAcentral's name for it is "partial 16S ribosomal RNA". It matches the Rfam family "Bacterial small subunit ribosomal RNA", at positions 499 to 807 of the family's 1533-position model. The record is from RNAcentral.